CCGGUUGUGCUAGAUUUGGAACCUCUAGACCUUGAAGUCUGGUAUCAAAGAAUGAAGUAUUCAUAUAGGACAUCCUUGGUGUCUCAAGUUUAAGGACCAGAUACACUAUCGGAACUACGGAAUCGCUGUCUGACAAUAAGACAUCAUCAACCAUCCAACAUCUCGUAAGCGGAUCAAUCAGUGAACUCAUUCUCCAAUGAGCACCUAUACUGUAUCCCUAGUGUCCCCACACGAGCAGCUAUGAGACCAGCAACAUCCAUCAUAUGGAUGAGUAUACACCACACCAGUCUGUCCGGUUAUCUCGAUGUCCCUCC
RNAcentral lists this long non-coding RNA (314 nucleotides) under Musa acuminata (dwarf banana). RNAcentral describes it as "long non-coding RNA (MACU_LNC010512)". The record is from RNAcentral. Lineage: Eukaryota; Viridiplantae; Streptophyta; Magnoliopsida; Zingiberales; Musaceae.